RNAcentral lists this unclassified non-coding RNA (2659 nucleotides) under Polistes fuscatus (common paper wasp). RNAcentral's name for it is "mAP kinase-activated protein kinase 2, transcript variant X3". The record is from RNAcentral. Lineage: Eukaryota; Metazoa; Arthropoda; Insecta; Hymenoptera; Vespidae.
AACGCGUCAAUCCGAAAGAACGCUUGUCGCGUUUCCGAUGCGCGCGCAUCUUUGCGACGACUAAUAGAAAGAGAGAGACGAGAGACAUUAACUGCUUCUUUUUUCCUUCUUUUUUCUUUUUUUUCUUUUUAAAUACGUUCCAAUGGAAAGACCCGCGAAUAUCGAGUCGCGCGCCAACUCGAUCUGACGACAACGUAACUUCAUUUGGCUCGAUUUCUCUUUAGUUUUCACCUUAAAGACACGAAACUUUGCUUUCGAAAAAGGAAAAAGGCGGGAUUUUCAAAAUUAAGCUUUACUAGUUACCCUCGAGAGAUUAUUUUUCCACUUACUACGCACUAAUGCCGAAGUCUGGUUCUAAGUGGAGGUUCUGGAGAAAGCCAAAGAGGGCUGCAGUGGAACAAAAAAAGGAAGAAAAAGAAGAAUCGAAUAAGGGUAAACGUAAACACGAGGAGGAAGAUAAGGAUACGAUAAUUCGUAGAAAGUGUGAGACUACUGGUACGAGUCAGGAUUGCAAAAGAAAAAUGAUGGAGAAUAUGUUACCUAAAUGUGACGCGCGUCUUCCGAAAAUGAGCCCGAUAACUGACGAUUACGAGAUCAGUAAUCACGUUUUGGGUCUUGGUAUUAACGGAAAGGUCGUACAGUGUUACGAUAGAAAGACUAGGGAAAAGUAUGCCCUAAAGGUUUUACACGACUGUGUCAAAGCGAGAAGAGAAGUAGAAUUACAUUGGAGAGCAUCCAAUUGCAGACACAUAGUUCAAGUAAAGGAUGUAUAUGAAAAUUCGUAUAGUGGCAACAAAUGCUUACUUGUGGUAAUGGAAUGCAUGGAAGGUGGCGAAUUAUUUCAAAGGAUUCAAGAUCGGCAAGACUGUGCUUUUACGGAAAGAGAAGCUGCACAAAUAAUGUACGAAAUAUGUGUAGCGGUAAAACAUCUGCAUGAUAUGAAUAUUGCUCACAGAGAUCUCAAACCGGAAAAUCUUUUGUAUUCCAAGCCAGACAGAACGGGAAUUUUAAAAUUAACCGAUUUUGGAUUUGCCAAAGAAACACAUAUGAAAGAUAAUUUACAGACUCCUUGUUAUACGCCAUAUUAUGUUGCUCCAGAAGUUCUGGGACCGGAAAAAUACGAUAAAAGUUGCGAUAUUUGGUCGCUCGGUGUAAUAAUGUAUAUACUAUUAUGCGGCUUUCCACCGUUUUAUAGUAAUCACGGUUUAGCGAUAUCACCUGGAAUGAAAAAAAGAAUUCGUUUGGGUCAAUAUGAUUUUCCUUCUCCAGAAUGGUCGAAUGUAAGUGUACAAGCUCGCGAUCUCAUAAAAGGAAUGUUAUGCACGGAUCCGGCGCAAAGAUUGCAAAUAGACGAAGUGAUGCGCAAUAAAUGGAUUGCCAAAUACACAGAAGUGCCUCCUACACCAUUGCACACUGGUCGUGUACUAAGGGAAGGUGAAGAACUUUGGCCCGAAGUACAAGAAGAAAUGACCCGUUCGUUAGCUACAAUGCGAGUAGAUUAUGAUACGGCAAAUCUUAAACAACUCGAUCAUAGCAACAAUCCAUUAUUAAACAAACGUAGACGUGCUAAACAAGCAAGCGCUAUUCCACCAACCGCUAAUCCUACACCAGCUUCCUAGGAGGAUGUUCUACGAGCCAGAAAAAACUGGCAAUUUUUGAUACGCAGAUGCAUUAGAUAUAGCAUUAUUACAAUGCGGAUUGUUUUUUGACGACUUGCAUCAUCAUGCAAAGGAAACAAACUUGCAAAGUAGAUAACUAUUAUAAAAGAAGCCAAUUGUGUGCAUAUGAGUGCACAUGCAUCUAUGCAUGAAGGAUUACAUGCUGCGUUGUUCUAAUGUUCUGUUUUAAACAAUUGUACAAUUUGUAAUAUAUAUUUUAUUUAUUAUAUAUAACAAUGAAAUAACUUGAAAAAUUUAUUAAUUACAGACGCAACAAACAUUAAUAUUAUUUUUCUUCAGCGAUACCAGCAUGUAUCCUUCAUAUUCGUACAUAAUUUGCUUUAAUUAUUUAUCAAUAUUUUUUAAUGGAUUUCAAAAAUUCUACGGCCUGAUGAAAAUUAUUUUUUAAAUAACAAUACCAUUAAUAUAUUAAAAGAAAAUAGAAAAUAUGAAAAGAGAAGUUAUAUAAGUAAAAGGAAAAAAUAAAAUGAUAUACAAUACUUGCUGAAGAAAUGAUAGAGAACGAUAAUCUUCACAGUGGCCUAAUCAUAUAUUCUGAAAAAAGCUUUGAGUGAUUGAAUGUUAGAAGAGUGUACUAGAGGGAGCACAAAUUUGUUAUAAUAGUGAAUAUUUAUGCUCGUAAGGAAUGACAUUUUAAAAAUAAUAUUUUAGUGUUAUAUAUGUAAUCAUGGUAUAAUAUACACUCAAGCAUAUAUCUUUAGAAAUUGAAUUUCGCGUAGUAUAGAAGUACAGCAAGAAUUGACAUCACGUUCAUUUUAAGCCGUCCAAACUACAGAGUACUAGAAACAGAAAAUAAAAUGAUAUCUAAUUAGAUAUCGUUAAAUAUUAUAUCACUUUCGUAUGGAAUUAUUUAUUAUGAUUGUAAAAUGAUAUCUCAAAGUGAUAUACCAACGAGAUUCUAGGAAGAAGUAUUCACUGAAUGGUUCCAAAAUUGAUGUGACUACCAAUUUGAUAAAUGGAUUAAUCAGUUUACUCAAACA